RNAcentral lists this long non-coding RNA (728 nucleotides) under Homo sapiens (human). RNAcentral's name for it is "HSALNT0330059". Lineage: Eukaryota; Metazoa; Chordata; Mammalia; Primates; Hominidae. The record is from RNAcentral.
UUGCUAGUUUAACCCUCUCAGCACAUAGCAUUCUCCCACUAUCCUGGUAACAGUACCUUUACCCAUAUAGCCCAUGUGCUUGGAGGAAGUACACCCUACUCUCAGUUCUAGAGUAGAACUCUGGGUGGUUUAAGCCCAUCAGCACAUCCCAUUGGCUUUGCUGCAGUGAUCAGUUAAAAUCAGAAGACUCAGUUCAGGCCAGUGAGAAACAAGGAGGUGUUUGCUGGGGCUUCUGGGAAAAAAUGCUUCCUGGCUCAGAGAACUACGAGGGAAGAGGUUCUCUCUCCCUGUUGGAGAUUCAUGUAGAACAAUAAAGAUCCGGAAGAUAGUGGAAAUAAUUUUGGAAGUGUAAUGGAAUUCAGCUUUAGGAGUAAGCGAGAUGUCAUAGGAAGCCAAGAAGAAAAAUGGAAAAAAGUAUUUCAUUUGAUGACAUAGAAAAACAAGUAUGACAGAGGUCUGAAGGACCAGAGGGGACCACUUAUUAGCUCAUCACAAACUUGAAACAGGCAAAAUGUACCUGUCAGAGCCUAAGUAGAACUGGAUUGCAUGAUGUAUGGCAGUGAUCUUCCAGAGCGCUCUCAAGUGUGUUUGACACGAGUGAACUGUGUUCGAGUUGAUUCUCCCUAUGGCAGUCCCAAAGCCUAAUUAUGAAAACACGAUAAGAUCAUUGCACAGUUAGACCAUUGCACCAUUGGCAUUCCUAAUAAACAGAUCAGCUUAGCCCAGCA